Molecule: long non-coding RNA, 437 nt
Organism: Suricata suricatta (meerkat)
Lineage: Eukaryota; Metazoa; Chordata; Mammalia; Carnivora; Herpestidae
Exons: 3
Source: RefSeq, a predicted model, not a curated record
GCCUUUCUGGAAGACACUCAAAAGGCAACCAUAGUUACUAAUGGAGCAUGGCAAAGCAUGAGACAGAGGUAUUUAUUACCCAGGCUGGACAAAAAAAGGAAGAACGUGAGAUGGUUUUUGCAUUAAGCUGCAAAUAUUAAUUCCAAAGACUCCCAGCAAUGACUGUGACUUCCAGCAUGCGCCACAGUGAAAGAAGGGCUAACGGUGUGCAUUGUUUCUUCGGAUGUUUAAUCGCUGGAGGAACCUCAGCUGGUCUACAAGGGCCUCGCCGCUGUAACGUUGGAGCAUCCAAAGAGCCCAUUUGGAUGGGAAAGUGGGCCAAGGGUCACUGCAACAGAACCACUCCGAGGAGACCGGGGGUCUUGGCGUUUUAACAACCGUUUCUGGUGAGAAACUGUCUUGUCUGUCUCCCAGACUCCACACCUACCCACCCGAGG